RNAcentral lists this unclassified non-coding RNA (413 nucleotides) under soil metagenome. RNAcentral's name for it is "partial contains 5.8S ribosomal RNA, internal transcribed spacer 2, and large subunit ribosomal RNA". The stretch from base 1 to 120 matches the Rfam family "5.8S ribosomal RNA", at positions 35 to 154 of the family's 154-position model. The record is from RNAcentral.
GAUGAAGAACGCAGUGAAAUGCGAUAAGUAAUGUGAAUUGCAGAAUUCAGUGAAUCAUCGAAUCUUUGAACGCACCUUGCGCUCUUUGGUAUUCCGAAGAGCAUGCCUGUUUGAGUGUCAUGAAAAUAUCAACCUUGACUUGGGUUUUGUGCUCUAGUCUCGGCUGGGAAUUGGGUGCUUGCCGCUUUUACGAGCGGCUCACCUUAAAUGUAUUAGCUGGAUCUGUCUUUGAGACUUGGUUUGACUUGGCGUAAUAAGUAUUUCGCUAAGGACAUUCUUCGGAGUGGCCUCGUUUCUAGGACGCUUGUCCGCUUUCCAAUACAAGUUCCACCUCGUGGACAUGACUUUUUAUUAUCUGGCCUCAAAUCAGGUAGGACUACCCGCUGAACUUAAGCAUAUCAAUAAGCGGAGGA